GCAUACACACAUACUCAUAUAUAUGUGUCUGUAUGCAUAUUAUAUAUGUGUGCAUAUAUAUAUAUAAUUUGAAGAAAAAUAUGCUGGACUUGGAACGACUGAGAAACAAAACUGGACUGAGAACUGAAAGAGACAAGGGGGGCUGAGGUGGAGUGAUGCAUGUAAUGCUGGAACAGAAGUUAGUGGUUUCCUCUCGUGCUUCCUCUUCUGAGAGUGUUCUCCUCCCUGGGGGAAGGCUUAUCUCUUUCUUCCCCAGAAAGGCAGAAUAUACUUGGUGUUUGGGCUUUUGAACGACAUCGCAGACAGCUGUAGACUGACUCAUGCGUGAGCCCCAUCUAAGUUCUAAGUGUGUUCCCAUUUGCUGACCCUUGAGAUCUGUACAGGAGCCUCAUCCCGCUGAUAAGAAAGAUGGCUUCAAUGAAGCCUUAUUUCCCUGCUGACGUCUCCUUUGUUCCCUCUGGUCAGUGACCGUCAAGCAAUCUACUCAUAGUGAGAUCUCUCUGGGAGAGGCUUUAGACUCAAACAGGUUUGGCUGCCUCUCUUGUCUUUAUAGCCGCAGCUGCUCUGAUCAUCGGUAUUGACCGUGGCGCCUGGAUUGCUAGGAACACACAAACGUUCUCUUGCCUUUAUUUUUCAGGCUGCUCUCUCCUGGGACCACCAGGGGUACUCGUGGAUUUGAAGCCCGGACUGCAUCAUCGGAAUUUACACUCCCAUCUUAUCUCUGAACUCCCUCCUCUGCUUUCUCCUGCUCUUCUCUCCUCUGCUGGCUUCUCUUCCUGCGUCCUGGGAUCCCUUCCGGCUUUUCCUUCUGGGUAAACCAGUCCCUAAUCUCUUAGCACCCCAGAUUGAAAGGUGUGUCCCUCCCUGCCACACCCCAGAGCUGUCACCAAUAACCUCUUCCAGGUUUCCAUAACUACAUUGCUCAAUAAUUUGCCAAGGGUAACCAUUAACCCAGUCCUUAGCCCUGCUCCCCUUGAGAGAGGAUUUUCCAGUCACUGAUCAGCAGAACCAGGUCACCUCACACCAUCUCUGAACCUCAGGCAGGGUCUUAUUUUAGUGUAGCUAGGACAGUUUUUAAAUUAUGUGGUGUGUGUGUGUGUGUAUGUGUGUGUGUGUGUGUGUGUGUGUGUGUGUGUGUACAAGCAGCACAGGUGUGGAGGACAAAGGACAAUCUGGAAGUCAGUUUUUUUCCUUCUACAGAGUGAGUCCUGGAGAGAAUAUUGAAGGUACUUUUACCUGCUGAGCCAGCCCUGAUGAAGUUAUUUUUGUUUGUUUUCUUGUUAUUGUUUUUUUUUGUUUUGAAAAGUAUGUUGUUGUUUUUUUCCUCCCUCAGAAACCCCUUCCUUCUCCUUUCCCAUUCAAACGGAUCUUCAGUCAGAGAUACCCUGUAUCCUUAGGGGCAGGAGGGCUGUAGUAUGGUUGCAAUGUGCUCUAAUUAGGUCUACUCUUAGAAUUUAGCAUCUUUCAGAUACUUAUACUUCCUUUUCAGGGGUCCCCCAAAUAAUCAAUCCAGGUAUUGCUCUUGUUGGGAGUGGUCAUCCCCUACAAUCAGGAAACGUAGGCAAAGUAGGGCUGAAACAGGAGUUGGUUCGUACUUCCACAUAUUUAUUUCAAACACUCAUGCAGCGCUUAUUUUGUUUGCUGGGCACUGUUCUGAGUUCUUUAUAAAUAUUAACUUAGUGGGUACAAAUAUUAACCGAGCUGUCGCUGUUGGCACAGGUUGAAUUAAUGUUGCUUCUGCCCUCUCUCUUCAGGAAGGAGGAAGAACGCCUCUGGCCCUUUAAGGGCCGCCUUCCCGCACUGGCCCUCGGCGGCCCAGACCCUUUUUCCUGGCGGGGACCUUAGCUCUGCCCUCUGCCUUUGGGCGGGCUCCGCCCAGCAUCAAUCAAAGCUCAGAGGCACGGCUGCUUAGCAAAGGCAGAGGGCGGGAAUUUUGAACACUCUGGCACCGCCCCCAAUGCCAACGGACCAGUCAGCAUUUAGAGCCUUCCCCGCCUUCCCGUUGGAUAGCUAAGCAGACCCCUCCAGCCAAUAGCGACUAAGAGGGCGGGACGAGCGAGCCCGCGCGACCCACGCCCACAGGCUGGCUGGUCCUUCCCACAGGCUCGCGGCGGUUGGUCAGGGAGGUGGCUCGUCGCGGCUGAGAGUCGCCGAGCCCAUGGCUUUCAGAGCGACCCCAGGCCGGACGCCGCCGGGACCCGGCCCCGGGGUCCCCUCAGCCAGCUUCUCCAGCCCUCAGCCUGCAAUGGCGGCGCCUGGAGGUAUCGAGGAAGAGGACGAGGAGGAGCCGGCCGAGAUCCAUCUGUGUGUGCUGUGGAGCUCGGGUUAUCUGGGCAUUGCUUACUAUGACACUAGUGACUCCACGAUCCACUUCAUGCCAGAUGCCCCAGACCACGAGAGCCUGAAGCUUCUCCAGAGAGUUCUGGAUGAAAUCAACCCCCAGUCUGUUGUGACAAGCGCCAAACAGGAUGAGGCUAUGACUCAAUUUCUAGGGAAGCUUGCCUCCCAGGAGCACAGAGAGCCAAAGAGACCAGAAAUCAUCCUUCUGCCAAGCGUGGAUUUUGGUCCAGAGAUAAGCAAACAGCGCCUCCUUUCCGGAAACUACUCCUUCAUCUCCGAGUCCAUGACCGCCACUGAGAAAAUCCUCUUCCUCUCCUCCAUUAUUCCCUUUGACUGUGUCCUCACGGUCCGGGCACUUGGAGGGCUGCUCAAGUUCCUGAGUCGAAGAAGAGUUGGGGUUGAACUGGAGGACUACAGUGUUGGCGUCCCUAUCCUGGGAUUUAAGAAGUUUGUAUUGACCCAUCUGGUGAGCAUAGAUCAAGACACUUACAGCGUUCUACAGAUUUUCAAGAGUGAGUCUCACCCCUCAGUGUACAAAGUAGCCAGCGGGCUGAAGGAGGGGCUCAGCCUCUUUGGAAUCCUCAACAGAUGUCGCUGUAGGUGGGGACAGAAGCUGCUCAGGCUAUGGUUUACACGUCCGACCCGGGAGCUACGGGAGCUCAAUUCCCGUCUGGAUGUCAUUGAGUUUUUCCUGAUGCCUCAGAACCUGGACAUGGCCCAGAUGAUGCACCGUCUCCUGAGCCACAUCAAGAACGUGCCUCUGAUUCUGAAACGCAUGAAGUUGUCCCAUACCAAGGUCAGUGACUGGCAGGUGCUCUACAAGACUGUGUACAGCGCCCUCGGCCUGAGGGAUGCCUGCCGUUCCCUGCCCCAGUCCAUCCAGCUUUUUCGGGACAUUACCCAGGAGUUCUCUGACGACCUGCACCACAUUGCCAGCCUCAUCGGGAAGGUGGUGGACUUCGAGGAAAGUCUUGCUGAAAAUCGCUUCACAGUCCUCCCCAACAUAGAUCCUGAAAUAGACGCUAAAAAGAGAAGGCUGAUGGGGCUUCCGAGUUUCCUCACGGAAGUUGCUCAGAAGGAGCUGGAGAACCUGGACUCUUGCAUCCCCUCAUGCAGUGUCAUCUACAUCCCUCUGAUCGGCUUCCUCCUUUCCAUUCCCCGAUUGUCUUUCAUGGUGGAGGCCAGUGACUUUGAGAUUGAGGGACUGGACUUCAUGUUUCUCUCAGAGGACAAGCUGCACUACCGUAGUGCCCGGACCAAGGAGCUGGACGCACUGCUGGGAGACCUGCACUGCGAGAUCCGGGACCAGGAGAUGCUGCUGAUGCACCAGCUGCAGUGCCAGGUGCUGGCACGGGCUCCGGUCUUGACUCGGGUACUGGACCUUGCCUCCCGCCUGGACGUCCUGUUGGCUCUUGCCAGUGCCGCCCGGGACUACGGCUAUUCGAGACCGCAUUACUCUCCCUGCAUCCAGGGAGUACGAAUCAAGAAUGGCCGGCAUCCACUGAUGGAGCUGUGCGCACGGACCUUCGUGCCCAACUCCACAGACUGCGGUGGGGACCAGGGGAGGGUCAAAGUCAUCACUGGACCCAACUCUUCAGGGAAAAGCAUAUAUCUGAAACAGGUAGGCUUGAUCACCUUCAUGGCCCUGGUGGGCAGCUUCGUGCCUGCAGAGGAGGCAGAAAUUGGGGUAAUCGACGCCAUCUUCACCCGAAUUCACAGCUGCGAGUCCAUCUCCCUCGGUCUCUCCACCUUCAUGAUUGAUCUCAACCAGGUGGCGAAAGCAGUGAACAAUGCCACAGAGCACUCUCUGGUCCUUAUUGACGAAUUCGGGAAGGGAACCAACUCGGUGGAUGGUCUGGCACUUCUGACUGCUGUGCUCCGUCACUGGCUAGCACUGGGACCCAGCUGCCCGCACAUCUUUGUGGCCACCAACUUCCUGAGCCUUGUUCAGCUGCAGCUGCUGCCGCAAGGACCCCUGGUACAGUAUUUGACCAUGGAGACUUGUGAGGAUGGGAACGACCUUGUCUUCUUCUAUCAGCUUUGCCAUGGCGUCGCCAGUGCCAGCCAUGCCUCCUACACUGCGGCCCAGGCUGGACUUCCUGACCCACUCAUUGCUCGAGGCAAAGAGGUGAUGAGCAUUGUGUGCGACACCCCCACCACAGGGGGGGUACCCCCUUGAGUACAGCGUGGCUCCUCUAAGUUUUUUUUUUUUAAGAUUUACUUAUUUUAUGCAUAUGAGAGUCUCCUUGAGUUUAUGGAAAUGUACCACGGGUGCCCGGUGCGUGUGGAGGUCAGAAGACGACAUCGAAUCUCAGGAACCGGAGUUAUGAUGGCUCCUGAGCUGCCACGUGGGUGCUGGGAAUUGAGUCCAGGUCCUCUGUGAGAGUAGUCUCAGACUCGAUCCGCAGCGGGAAGCCCGUCAAGCCCAUGCAUGAACUUGUGAGGAGGACCCAGAUGGAAAAUUGCCAGGCCCUGGUGGAUAAAUUUCUAAAAUUGGACUUGGAAGAUCCCUCACUG
Molecule: non-coding RNA, 4857 nt
Organism: Rattus norvegicus (Norway rat)
Lineage: Eukaryota; Metazoa; Chordata; Mammalia; Rodentia; Muridae
Source: RefSeq, a predicted model, not a curated record